This 468-nucleotide ribosomal RNA is filed under the name uncultured bacterium. RNAcentral describes it as "partial 16S ribosomal RNA". It matches the Rfam family "Bacterial small subunit ribosomal RNA", at positions 28 to 507 of the family's 1533-position model. The record is from RNAcentral.
GACGAACGCUGGCGGCGUGCUUAACACAUGCAAGUCGAACGGAAAGGCCCUGCUUUUGUGGGGUGCUCGAGUGGCGAACGGGUGAGUAACACGUGAGUAACCUGCCCUUGACUUUGGGAUAACGUCAGGAAACUGGGGCUAAUACCGGAUAGGAGCUCCUGCUGCAUGGUGGGGGUUGGAAAGUUUCGGCGGUUGGGGAUGGACUCGCGGCUUAUCAGCUUGUUGGUGGGGUAGUGGCUUACCAAGGCUUUGACGGGUAGCCGGCCUGAGAGGGUGACCGGCCACAUUGGGACUGAGAUACGGCCCAGACUCCUACGGGAGGCAGCAGUGGGGAAUAGUGCACAAUGGGCGGAAGCCUGAUGCAGCAACGCCGCGUGCGGGAUGACGGCCUUCGGGUUGUAAACCGCUUUCGCCUGUGACGAAGCGUGAGUGACGGUAAUGGGUAAAGAAGCACCGGCUAACUACGUG